AUUGAACGCUGGCGGCAUGCCUUACACAUGCAAGUCGAACGGCAGCACGGGAGCAAUCCUGGUGGCGAGUGGCGAACGGGUGAGUAAUAUAUCGGAACGUGCCCAGUCGUGGGGAUAACGUAGCGAAAGCUACGCUAAUACCGCAUACGAUCUAUGGAUGAAAGCGGGGGAUCGCAAGACCUCGCGCGAUUGGAGCGGCCGAUAUCAGAUUAGGUAGUUGGUGAGGUAAAGGCUCACCAAGCCGACGAUCUGUAGCUGGUCUGAGAGGACGACCAGCCACACUGGGACUGAGACACGGCCCAGACUCCUACGGGAGGCAGCAGUGGGGAAUUUUUGGGACAAUGGGCACAAGCCUGAUCCAGCAAUGCCGCGUGCAGGAUGAAGGCCUU
RNAcentral lists this ribosomal RNA (389 nucleotides) under uncultured bacterium. RNAcentral describes it as "bacterial SSU rRNA". It matches the Rfam family "Bacterial small subunit ribosomal RNA", at positions 30 to 418 of the family's 1533-position model. The record is from RNAcentral.